RNAcentral lists this unclassified non-coding RNA (2825 nucleotides) under uncultured fungus. Its description in RNAcentral is "sequence contains 18S rRNA gene, ITS1, 5.8S rRNA gene, ITS2, 28S rRNA gene". The stretch from base 525 to 2825 matches the Rfam family "Bacterial large subunit ribosomal RNA", at positions 1 to 2310 of the family's 2925-position model. The record is from RNAcentral. Lineage: Eukaryota; Fungi.
GGCUGGAUCACCUCCUUUCUAAGGAAGAGAUCUACUGUUGUCUCACUUCUUCGGAAGUGACUCUCUGAUUGUAGAGUAAAGGGCAACUAGAUCAGGUUAACAGCAACUUGCGGUCCGCCGCGAUUCACUAUUCAGCUUUGAGAGAGCGAUGAAGUGAAAGUCCUUCGGGACUUUUAUUUUGUAACGAAUCUCAGAAGCUCUUUGACAUUGCAGAGAUUGAAACGGAUGCGGGCCUUGUGCUUAGCAGAAGACGAUCUCAAUUAUAGAACUAGCUGAUAAAUAAUUGAAUAAUGCUAAAUGCAAGAUUCUCUUUGACUUGAAUCUUGAGUAAUUAAAAAUCAGACUGGAAUCAAAAUUUUUGAGACUAGACUGAUUUUGGACUCAGAUCAAAAGAUGGAUGCAAGGCCGAAGACGAGCGAGCACCGCAGCGUACUAAUGUACGUGAGGAUGCGAGCGAGUCUGAGAACGCAGCAGACGCUUUUGAGGUGAGUCCAAAAGUUGGCCGAGUGAAGAGUUGAUGGCGAGAGUAAGCUACUAAGGGCGCAUGGUGGAUGCCUUGGCACUGAGAGGCGAUGAAAGACGUGGUAGGCUGCGAAAAGCUUCGGGGAGUCGCCUAACUGACUUUGAUCCGGAGAUAUCUGAAUGGGGAAACCCACUGCGUAAGCAGUACUGUGCAGUGAAUUCAUAGCUGUAUGGAGCAAACCCAGGGAAUUGAAACAUCUAAGUACCUGGAGGAAUAUAAAUCAAUAGAGAUUCCGAAAGUAGUGGCGAGCGAAAUCGGAAGAGCCCUAAACCAGCCGGAAUUCUGGCUGGGGUUGCGGGGCGCUCAUAACGGAUCGUAGAGGUUAGCAAAACCGUUUGGGAAGACGGACCAUAGAGGGUGAUAGUCCCGUAUGCGAAAACCAAAACGACCAGAGCUGUCCCCAAGUAGGGCGAGGCACGUGAAACCUUGUCUGAAUCCGGGAAGACCAUUUUCCAAGGCUAAAUACUACUCAGUGACCGAUAGUGAAUCAGUACCGUGAGGGAAAGGUGAAAAGAACCCCGUUGAGGGGAGUGAAAUAGAUCUGAAACCGUGCGCUUACAAGCAGUCGGAGCGAAAGUGACGGCGUGCCUUUUGCAUAAUGAGCUUACGAGUUAUUGUAGCAGGCGAGGUUAAGGUGUUCAGCACCGGAGCCGCCAGCGAGAGCGAGUCUGAAUAGGGCGUUUAGUCUGUUGCAAUAGACCCGAAACCUGGCGAUCUAUCCAUGGGCAGGUUGAAGCUGGGGUAAUACCUAGUGGAGGACCGAACUCGUACCCGUUGAAAGGGUUGGGAUGACUUGUGGAUGGGAGUGAAAAGCUAAUCGAGCUGGGUGAUAGCUGGUUCUCCCCGAAACAUAUUUAGGUAUGGCGUUUCGCGUUUCUUAAAGGGGGUAAAGCACUGAUAGAGCUAGGGGUCUCACCAGACUACCAAACUCUUUCAAACUCUGAAUACCUUUACAGAUAGCGGAGCAGACAGACUAUGGGAGAGAAGUUUCAUAGUCGAGAGGGAAAGAGCCCAGAUCACCGGCUAAGGUCCCAAAGACUAGACUAAGUGGUAAACGAUGUGAAGACGCAUAGACAGCCAGGAUGUUGGCUUAGAAGCAGCCAUCAUUUAAAGAAAGCGUAACAGCUCACUGGUCAAGUAUUUUUGCGCGGAAAAUUUAACGGGGCUCAAGUCUAGCACCGAAGCCGUGGACUUCGUAAGAAGUGGUAGGGGAGUAUUGUAGUAACCAAUGAAGGUGUCUUGCGAGGGAUGCUGGAGGAGCUACAAGAGCAUAUGUAAGCAUAAGUAGCGUAAAAGAGAGUGAGAAACUCUCUCGCCGAAAGCCCAAGGUUUCCUGGGAAAGGGUAAUCCUCCCAGGGUUAGUCGGAACCUAAGGCGAGGCUGAAAAGCGUAGUCGAUGGAUGACAGGUUAAUAUUCCUGUACCUCGAUAGUGGAGCGAUGCGGGGGCGCAGCAAGGUAGUCACGCCGAGUGUUGGAUAUCUCGGUGUAAGCAUGUAGGAGGACUUGGUUGUUAAGUACGCCAGGUUAUCAACUCUGAGGUGUGAUGCGGUGGACUUCGGUCCUUAAGGUGAUGAUCCUCUACUGACAAGAAAAGCCGCUAAGCGUUGAAGCUAUCAGUCCGUACCCCAAACCAACUCAGGUGGGCAAGGAGAGAAUCCUAAGGCGUUUGAGUGAAACCAAGUUAAGGAACUCGGCAAAUUGACACCGUAACUUCGGGAUAAGGUGUGCCAGCAGCGUCAAGAGCUUCGCGCUCGUAGCGUAGUCUGGUUGCAGAUAAGAGGGGGUGGCGACUGUUUACCAAAAACACAGCACUGUGCAAACUCGUAAGAGGAAGUAUACGGUGUGACGCCUGCCCGGUGCUGGAAGGUUAAGAGGAGAGGUCAACGCAAGUGAAGCUUUGAAUCGAAGCCCCAGUAAACGGCGGCCGUAACUAUAACGGUCCUAAGGUAGCGAAAUUCCUUGUCGGGUAAGUUCCGACCUGCACGAAUGGCGUAACGACUUCCCCGCUGUCUCAACUUGGUGCUCAGCGAAUUUGAAAACAGUGUGAAGAUGCACUGUACCCGCAGUAAGACGGAAAGACCCCGUGAACCUUUACUGUAGCUUGGCAUUGGUAUUCGGAGUUGUUUGUGUAGCAUAGGUGGGAGGCUUUGAAGCGGAGGCGCUAGCUUUCGUGGAGCCAUCCUUGAAAUACCACCCUGAUAAUUCUGGAUCUCUAACCUACUCCCCUAAUCGGGGAGAGGGACAAUGCCUGGUGGGCAGUUUGACUGGGGCGGUCGCCUCCCAAACAGUAACGGAGGCGUG